AGAGGGCUUCAUGAUAAGGUUAUUUUCUUAUUAAUAUACAAUGAACCCAUUGAAAGAACUUGGAUUCUGAUUCUAAACCAUUAAAGAAAAUUUAUUAGGUGUUAAAAUUUUUAUUAUAUAAAUGGUCUGUUAUCAAUGGUUAAUGCUCUUUGGUUGACUUCAGUACUUCACUUCAUCCUUCAUAUGUAUUGUUCUAGUCUAAUUGCAGCACUAGGUGAACUGUCAAGUAUUGGUGAUAUUGACGUAUAUCUUUGUUUUUUAUUUUUUACUUUUGGUGGUUUUUUGGAGAAAGGUUAACCUUUGAAAAUUUUGUAUUAACAAGAAAUCCUCCAGCACAAUUAUUGAAGAUGAUGGGAUUUGUUAAUCAUCCUAUUGUCCUUUUGAAUGGUAUCUUUAUUUCCAUACCCAUUAUCUAGUUUUUUUGAUCAAUUGUCACCUCUCCUUGCACUUAGGUAGGCAGAGGAGUAAAUAAGUGCUACCCCAUUAUUGCAUGUGGCAAUUAAAGAAUUUUUUUUUUUCGUUUUUUG
Molecule: unclassified non-coding RNA, 527 nt
Filed under: Hevea brasiliensis (rubber tree)
Lineage: Eukaryota; Viridiplantae; Streptophyta; Magnoliopsida; Malpighiales; Euphorbiaceae
Source: RNAcentral